GACGAACGCUGGCGGCGUGCCUAAUACAUGCAAGUCGAGCGGACUUUCAAGAAGCUUGCUUUUUGAAAGUUAGCGGCGGACGGGUGAGUAACACGUGGGCAACCUGCCUGCAAGACGGGGAUAACUCCGGGAAACCGGGGCUAAUACCGGAUAAUAUCUUCCUUCGCAUGAAGGAAGGUUGAAAGGCGGCGCAAGCUGCCGCUUGCAGAUGGGCCCGCGGCGCAUUAGCUAGUUGGUGAGGUAACGGCUCACCAAGGCGACGAUGCGUAGCCGACCUGAGAGGGUGGUCGGCCACACUGGGACUGGGACCCGGCCCAGACUCCUCCGGGAGGCAGCAGUAGGGCAUCUUGCGCCAUGGGCGAAAGUCUGACGGAGCAACGCCGCGUGAGCAAAGAAGGUCUUCGGAUCGUAAAGCUCUGUUGUCAGGGAAGAACAAGUACCGUUCGAACAGGGCGGUACCUUGACGGUACCUGACCAGAAAGCCACGGCUAACUACGUG
RNAcentral lists this ribosomal RNA (499 nucleotides) under uncultured bacterium. RNAcentral's name for it is "partial 16S ribosomal RNA". It matches the Rfam family "Bacterial small subunit ribosomal RNA", at positions 28 to 507 of the family's 1533-position model. The record is from RNAcentral.